GAGAGAAAGAGAGUUUUAAGAGAUUCGCUGAGAAUGAAUUGGCUGUGAGAAUUUUCAUUCCAAAAUGGCGGCCUCGCUACUGAAGCGCCACCUAGUGGCUGUUGCCAAAAAAGCAUCAGAGUUUCGCCUCUUGUGCUUACAGUCGUUUGUGGGUGUAGAGCUACGCCUGAACAGCAGGUGAUGCUGUAUCAUCCUGCAGGAGUCUGAAUCUCUACUGCAGUGCUGAGGAAGAGACGUCACAAGCUUUUAGAUCAGCGCGCAUAGCACGAGCAGCCAUUUCAUUCCAGCACGUGUAUGCAGUCGGACCUCACUUACAUUCUGGCGAAAUUGCAUUUAACAUUUUAUUUUUUGUAUUUUAACAGUACUUAUGUAAACUUUAACAUGUGUUUAGUUAAAACACAUUAGUGAUUAUUUACUAGUUUAACUAUUAGCGUUUCUUGAAGUGUGCGUCUGAUCAGAGAACGAGAACGUGGAGGGACCAGAAAACGUGGACGCCACGAGGCCGAUGCUGUCUUCACUUGUUAACUUGCAUUAUUUUAAUAACACUUAUAUAAAUACCUUUUUUUGUUUACUGUGUGACCCUUAACAUUUCAGUUUGUGUGUAAUAAACAAUUAUAUUGGACUUAA
Long non-coding RNA from Misgurnus anguillicaudatus (oriental weatherfish), 627 nucleotides. RefSeq lists it as uncharacterized. Lineage: Eukaryota; Metazoa; Chordata; Actinopteri; Cypriniformes; Cobitidae. The record is from RefSeq and is a predicted model, not a curated record.